RNAcentral lists this ribosomal RNA (548 nucleotides) under Cortinarius armillatus. RNAcentral describes it as "eukaryotic LSU rRNA". The stretch from base 189 to 342 matches the Rfam family "5.8S ribosomal RNA". The record is from RNAcentral. Lineage: Eukaryota; Fungi; Basidiomycota; Agaricomycetes; Agaricales; Cortinariaceae.
GUGAACCUGCGGAAGGAUCAUUAUUGAAUAAACCUGAUGGGUUGUUGCUGGCUCUCUUGGGAGCAUGUGCACACCUUGUCAUCUUUAUAUUUCCACCUGUGCACCUUUUGUAGACCUCCCCAGGNUCUAUGUUGCUUCAUUUACCCCCAAUGUAUGUUAAUAGAAUGUUGUGUCUAUAAAAUCUAUACAACUUUCAGCAACGGAUCUCUUGGCUCUCGCAUCGAUGAAGAACGCAGCGAAAUGCGAUAAGUAAUGUGAAUUGCAGAAUUCAGUGAAUCAUCGAAUCUUUGAACGCACCUUGCGCUCCUUGGUAUUCCGAGGAGCAUGCCUGUUUGAGUGUCAUUAAUAUAUAUCAACCCACUCUUGUUGAGUGGUUUGGAUGUGGAGGGUUUUGCUGGCUGCUUAAAAGGUGCCAGCUCCUCUGAAAUGCAUUAGUGGAACAACCUGUCCAUUCAUUGGUGUGAUAACUAUCUACGCUGUUGAAUGUGAGGCAGUUCAGCUAUCUAACAGUCCUUGGACAAACUUAUCAUUUAAUGUGACCUCAAAUC